This 1777-nucleotide long non-coding RNA is filed under the name Theobroma cacao (cacao). RNAcentral describes it as "long non-coding RNA (TCAC_LNC002196)". Lineage: Eukaryota; Viridiplantae; Streptophyta; Magnoliopsida; Malvales; Malvaceae. The record is from RNAcentral.
CAGCAUCUGGAGACACAAGAAUCAAGAACACGUAAGCACAGAAAGCGUUCAAAAAGCAAUAUACCGCAUGAAAAACUAGAAAAAUAAGACGUUCCAAAACAAAGGAUAAAAGAAGUGCAAAACAAUUACGAAAAAAUAACCCCCAUUCCAACUGCCAGCAAGAUCUUUCAUCCUUGCCCUUCCUGCUCUUAAUUUUGGAAGCUGAUAACACAGCAUCUAAAAUAAUGAAGAGAAAAAGAAUCAUAUCAUGCUCAGUGACAUUAACUACACAGGAUCCUAAAAACUCAAAAACUAAAGAAUUUUGAGUGAUACAAUAAGAACCAGGACAGCAAGUCUCCUUGGAGUUGAGGCAUAAAAUUGAAUAUCCAAGAGACCUUGAUCAAACAAAACCAUAAAAAGAUAUUGAAAGGAAAAAAUCCUAGAGGCCCUAAAGUUCACAAUCCAAGACAAUGAAACAUAAUUUCCAUAUGCAUUAGUCAACCGAACUUCAAAAACCAGAAAAUAUCUGUGGCUACCUACAAUCACAAAAUACAUACAGAAUUCCGAGCACAAACAAGAGAAAAAUGUCUGCAUAUAAGAUUAUGACCCCAGCUAGCAAGUGACAUCCACAAUCUUUCGACACUAGCAAGUGACCACUAGAAUCUUUCAAAACCUGACAACAACCAUACAAACCAUACUUUAUCUCAAGUCUUCAAUGUGAGACAAACAAAAAGGGUCAAAAGUUAUAUCAUGCUCGGUACCAAUACAAAAUUCCCCAAAAUCAAGUAGUUUUGAGAGAUACGAAAAACCAGGAAGCAAAAUCUCCUUGAAAUCAGAGUGUAGACUUUCAUCUUAUAUGCUGAUGGUAGAAUUUCAAGAUUGCUGUUGUCAACAACAACCUACAAAAACCAUGUGUCAAGCCAAAAAACAAGAGAAAUUGAUAAACAGAAAAAGGUCGAUAGUGACGAUCCUGCAAAGAAUGAAAAAGAACACAAGAGAAGAAAAUGAAGACUUAAAAAUUUUCCCCAUUAUAGAAUGGCCAGCCAAGAACCACUGCAAAUAAAACCCAUUAUCAAGCAAGAAGGAGGUCCAACAAAAAUCCAACUGCUGCAAGAUCCUUUAUACUCGUCCUUUUAACUAACCCCAAACAGCGUCUGAAUGAAAAAAUAAAGGGUCAAAGGUCGUAUCAGGCUCAAUACCAAUACAUGAUCCUCCAAAAUCAAGUAUUCUUGACAUAUAUGAACGGGAAGCAAACCUCCUUAAAAGUUGAGACAGAAAUCCAAACCAAUGGAAGUCUUUAAAACCAAGAGAUCCAAUCAAUACCUCCUAGACGAACAAUCUAAAUUCACCAACACCAAAUUUAAAUUGAAACAAUCUCAGUGAAAAAUGAAGAUAGGUGGAGAUAUAAAAGUUACAAGACCCCUUACCACCCACAGCUUCCAAAUCUGUCAUCCUUGUCAUUUCUUCUUCAGGCCAUGGCCAUAUACCAUCUCCUUAUCUCUUCUUUCUAACCGCAUUCACAAAAAAAAGUACUAAUAAUCUUUUAUCUCCUGACGUAUUACUAAUUAACUUCAAGAGACAAAAAUUAUUCACAACGUGGAAGGAGAUGCAUUCCUAGUAACAGUGGCGAUCACGGCCGUGAGGAAGUUCAAGGAUAAGGAAAACCGGCAACAACACUGCAGGCAGAAAGCGUAUAUUGAAAUAUCUUCCAAAGUUCCAAACCAAAACAAGAACUAAGAACUUAAGAACCAUCGGUCCAUCCGCACAACAUAAUUAACUGAAAAGAGAGCCAAUACUC